GAUGAACGCUGGCGGCGUGCUUAACACAUGCAAGUCGAACGGAAAGGCCCAAGCUUGCUUGGGUGCUCGAGUGGCGAACGGGUGAGUAACACGUGGGUGAUCUGCCCUGCACUUCGGGAUAAGCCUGGGAAACUGGGUCUAAUACCGGAUAGGACGAUGUUUUGGAUGGCAGGGUGGAGAGUUUUUUCGGUGUGGGGGGAGCUCGCGGCCUGUCAGCGUGUGGGUGGGGGAUUGGCGUAGCAAGGCGUCGACGGGUAGCCGGCAUGAGAGGGUGUACGGCCACAUUGGGAGACUGAGACAGGCCAGAGUCUUACAGGGGGGACAAGGGGGGAAAAUUGUACACUGGGGGCAAGCGUGAGGCACCGACGCCGCGUGGGGGAUGACGGCCUUUGGGUGGUAAAAACCGCUCUCGACUGACACGGCGUGUGUGUGACGGUACCUGGAGAAGAAGCACCGGCUAACUACGUG
This 468-nucleotide ribosomal RNA is filed under the name uncultured bacterium. RNAcentral describes it as "partial 16S ribosomal RNA". It matches the Rfam family "Bacterial small subunit ribosomal RNA", at positions 28 to 507 of the family's 1533-position model. The record is from RNAcentral.